This 264-nucleotide unclassified non-coding RNA is filed under the name Ascomycota sp. RNAcentral describes it as "partial contains small subunit ribosomal RNA, internal transcribed spacer 1, and 5.8S ribosomal RNA". The stretch from base 1 to 47 matches the Rfam family "Eukaryotic small subunit ribosomal RNA", at positions 1785 to 1831 of the family's 1831-position model. Lineage: Eukaryota; Fungi; Ascomycota. The record is from RNAcentral.
AAAGUCGUAACAAGGUUUCCGUAGGUGAACCUGCGGAAGGAUCAUUAAUUAUCGGUAGUUUACUACCGUUUGAAGGGGGUGGAAAGUUUCCAGGUCUUCCUGGGGGUGAGUACAUCCUAUUCUUAACCCUUGACUUUUUGCGCACUCAUGUUUCCUCGGUGGGCUUGCCUGCCGAAUGGACAAACCAAUAACCUUUUUAAUAUUUAAUCAGCGUCUGAAUUAUUUUAAUAAUUACAACUUUCAACAACGGAUCUCUUGGUUCUG